GGCAUUCGAGGUCAGGUCAAGUCUGAGCCACAGAGGAGUGACCUGCAGGACAGCCCAGCCAGGGCUGGGAGCUGGAGCAGGCCCAUGUCUGGAGAGGCUGCAGAGAGAGGCCAAGAUCCGAGGAAUGGGCAUGAACUCCCCGGAGCUGCUCCUGCUGGUGGAAAAUUGUCCCAAGGGGGCAGAGACACUGGUCACGCGAUGUCUGCACAGCCUCACAGACAAAGUCCCACCCUCCCCGGAGCUGGUGAAGCGGGUCCGGGAUCUCUACCACAAGCGACUGCCAGACGUCCGCUUCCUCAUCCCGGUGCUCAAUGGGCUGGAGAAGAAAGAGGUGAUCCAGGCCCUGCCUAAACUCAUCAAACUCAACCCCAUCGUGGUGAAGGAAGUCUUCAACCGCCUGCUGGGCACCCAGCAUGGUGAGGGAAACUCAGCCUUGUCCCCGCUGAACCCUGGAGAGCUCCUAAUCGCAUUACACAACAUCGACUCCGUGAAGUGCGACAUGAAAUCCAUCAUCAAAGCCACCAACCUGUGCUUUGCGGAGCGGAACGUGUACACGUCAGAGGUGCUGGCCGUGGUGAUGCAGCAGCUGAUGGAGCAGAGCCCCCUGCCCAUGCUGCUCAUGAGGACCGUCAUCCAGUCCCUGACCAUGUACCCCCGCCUGGGGGGCUUCGUCAUGAACAUCCUGUCCCGCCUCAUCAUGAAGCAGGUGUGGAAGUACCCCAAGGUGUGGGAGGGCUUCAUCAAGUGCUGCCAGCGCACCAAGCCCCAGAGCUUCCAGGUCAUCCUGCAGCUGCCGCCCCAGCAGCUGGGAGCUGUCUUUGACAAGUGCCCGGAGCUCCGGGAGCCCCUGCUGGCCCAUGUCCGCUCCUUCACCCCCCACCAGCAAGCUCACAUCCCUAACUCCAUCAUGACCAUCUUGGAGGCCAGCGGCAAGCAGGAGCCAGAGGCCAAGGAGGCGCCUGCGGGGCCCUUGGAGGAGGAUGACCUGGAGCCCCUGGCCUUGGCCCCGGCCCCAGCACCCCGGCCCCCUCAGGACCUCAUCGGCCUGCGGCUGGCCCAGGAGAAGGCCUUAAAGCGGCAGCUGGAGGAGGAGCAGAAGCUGAAGCCGGGAGGAGUGGGAGCCCCCUCCUCUUCCUCCUCCUCUCCCUCUCCCUCGGCCCGGCCGGGCCCGCCCCCGUCUGAGGAAGCCAUGGAUUUCCGGGAGGAGGGGCCUGAGUGCGAGACCCCGGGCAUCUUCAUCAGCAUGGAUGACGACUCGGGGCUGACCGAGGCCGCGCUGUUGGACUCUAGUCUCGAGGGCCCCCUACCCAAGGAGACGGCAGCGGGCGGGCUGACCUUGAAGGAGGAGCGGAGCCCCCAGACCCUAGCACCUAUUGGAGAAGAUGCUGUGAAGACCCCCAGCCCGGCUGCCGAGGACGCCAGGGAACCCGAGGCCAAGGGGAACAGCUGACGGGGCUCGAGGGGGAAGGGGGGUGGGACAGGGACGCGGGGCUGGGGACGGGGCGGGGCUUGACCUGCGGAUGCUUUGCCUUAAAAAAAAAUAAAAGAUGUGAACUUGGGCAAGUUACUGAAAAUAAAAAAAAAAAGGGAUGGCUGGCC
This 1599-nucleotide small RNA is filed under the name Pongo abelii (Sumatran orangutan). RNAcentral describes it as "processed transcript". Lineage: Eukaryota; Metazoa; Chordata; Mammalia; Primates; Hominidae. The record is from RNAcentral.